GUGGGGAAUUUUGGACAAUGGGGGCAACCCUGAUCCAGCAAUGCCGCGUGCAGGAAGAAGGCCUUCGGGUUGUAAACUGCUUUUGUACGGAACGAAACGGUCUGGGUUAAUACCCUGGGCUAAUGACGGUACCGUAAGAAUAAGCACCGGCUAACUACGUGCCAGCAGCCGCCGUAAUACGUAGGGUGCGAGCGUUAAUCGGAAUUACUGGGCGUAAAGCGUGCGCAGGCGGUUUUGUAAGACAGGCGUGAAAUCCCCGGGCUCAACCUGGGAGUGGCGCUUGGGACUGCAAAGCUGGAGUGCGGCAGAGGGGGAUGGAAUUCCGCGUGUAGCAGUGAAAUGCGUAGAUAUGCGGAGGAACACCGAUGGCGAAGGCAAUCCCCUGGGCCUGCACUGACGCUCAUGCACGAAAGCGUGGGGAGCAAACAGGAUUAGAAACCCUUGUAGUCC
RNAcentral lists this ribosomal RNA (450 nucleotides) under uncultured bacterium. RNAcentral describes it as "partial 16S ribosomal RNA". It matches the Rfam family "Bacterial small subunit ribosomal RNA", at positions 354 to 796 of the family's 1533-position model. The record is from RNAcentral.